RNAcentral lists this ribosomal RNA (680 nucleotides) under Rhodococcus sp. #6. RNAcentral's name for it is "bacterial SSU rRNA". It matches the Rfam family "Bacterial small subunit ribosomal RNA", at positions 95 to 789 of the family's 1533-position model. Lineage: Bacteria; Bacillati; Actinomycetota; Actinomycetes; Mycobacteriales; Nocardiaceae. The record is from RNAcentral.
GCGGCGAACGGGUGAGUAACACGUGGGUGAUCUGCCCUGCACUUCGGGAUAAGCCUGGGAAACUGGGUCUAAUACCGGAUAUGACCUCCUGUCGCAUGGUGGGUGGUGGAAAGAUUUAUCGGUGCAGGAUGGGCCCGCGGCCUAUCAGCUUGUUGGUGGGGUAAUGGCCUACCAAGGCGACGACGGGUAGCCGACCUGAGAGGGUGACCGGCCACACUGGGACUGAGACACGGCCCAGACUCCUACGGGAGGCAGCAGUGGGGAAUAUUGCACAAUGGGCGAAAGCCUGAUGCAGCGACGCCGCGUGAGGGAUGACGGCCUUCGGGUUGUAAACCUCUUUCAGCAGGGACGAAGCGCAAGUGACGGUACCUGCAGAAGAAGCACCGGCUAACUACGUGCCAGCAGCCGCGGUAAUACGUAGGGUGCAAGCGUUGUCCGGAAUUACUGGGCGUAAAGAGUUCGUAGGCGGUUUGUCGCGUCGUUUGUGAAAACCAGCAGCUCAACUGCUGGCUUGCAGGCGAUACGGGCAGACUUGAGUACUGCAGGGGAGACUGGAAUUCCUGGUGUAGCGGUGAAAUGCGCAGAUAUCAGGAGGAACACCGGUGGCGAAGGCGGGUCUCUGGGCAGUAACUGACGCUGAGGAACGAAAGCGUGGGUAGCGAACAGGAUUAGAUACCCUG